RNAcentral lists this long non-coding RNA (3837 nucleotides) under Olea europaea subsp. europaea. Lineage: Eukaryota; Viridiplantae; Streptophyta; Magnoliopsida; Lamiales; Oleaceae. The record is from RNAcentral.
AAGUAAAUUAGACUCAAAAGAAAAUGUUGAACGAAAGAAAGUAAGAUUGGUUGCAAAACGUUUCACUCAGCGAGAGGGCAUUGAUUAUGUUGAAACCUUCUCCCCUGUUUCGUCAAAAAAUUCUUUUCGAAUUAUCAUGGCUCUUGUGGCACACUAUAAUUUGAAAUUUCAUCAAAUGGAUGUUAAGACAACAUUUUUGAAUGGAGAUCUUUCUGAAAUGGUUUAUAUGAAACAACUUGAAGGUUUUGUUGUGAAAGGAAAAGAAAACUUGGUGUGUAAGUUAAACAAAUUCUUAUAUGGUCUCAAGCAAGCAUCUCGACGGUGGUAUUUGAAGUUUGAUGAGGUUGUGACCUCUCUUGGUUUUGUUGAAAAUACUAUUGAUCAAUGCUUAUAUCUUAAAACCAGUGGGAGAAAUUUUAUUUUCCUCGUACUGUAUGUUGAUGACAUUCUGCUUGCUAGCAAUAACUUAGGGCUGCUUCAUGAGACAAAGAAAAUAUUGUCUACUAAUUUUGAGAUGAAAGAUCUUCGAGAAGCUUCCUAUAUACUUGGCAUUGAAAUACAUCGUGAUAGAAAUCGUGGCUUAUUGGGACUUUCUCAAAAAGCUUAUAUACGACGUGUUCUAAAAAGGUUUAACAUGCAAAAUUGUACACCUGGUGAUGUACCUAUCAUAAAAGGAUAUAAAUUUAACAAAACUCAAUAUUCAAGGAAUGAGCUAGAAAGGAAAUCUAUGAAGAUGAUUACAUAUGCUAGUGCUGUAGGGAGCUUGAUGUGUGCUCAAGUUUGCACUAGACCGGAUAUAGCCUACGCAGUAAGUGUCCUUAGCAGAUUUCAGUCCCAAGACAAGAGCAUUGGAAAACAGCUAAGAAAGUUACGAGAUAUUUGAAGAAAACUGAAAGUUAUAUGCUUACAUUCCAACAUACAAAUCAUCUUGAGGUGGUAGAAUAUUCAGAUUCUGAUUUUGUCGGAUGUUAAGAUGAUUUGAAAUCAACCUCAGGUUAUAUUUUUACAUUAGCUGGUGGUGCCAUUUUUUGGAAAAGUGCUAAACAGACUCUAGUUGUAUCUUCUACUAUGCAAGCUGAGUUUGUGACAUGUUAUGGGGCUACAAUCCAAGUCGUUUGGUUAAGAAAUUUCAUCUCUGGCUUGAAAGUUGUUGAUUCUAUCUCAAGAACGAUCACCAUCUACUGUGAUAAUAGUGCAGCGGUAUUCUUUUCAAAAAAUAAUAAAAGUUCUGGUGGAUCAAAACAUAUUGACAUCAAAUAUUUGGUUGUUAAAGACAGAGUCAAAGAAGGGCAGAUGAAAAUAGAGCAUAUCAAUACAUAGGCGAUGGUUGCAGAUCCCUUGACUCAGGGACUCGCUCCAAAAGUCUUUAAGACACAUGUUACUAAUAUGGGUAUUGUGGAAACAUUUGAUGUUUUUGGUUAGUGUGAGUUAUUUAUGUAAAGAACUACGUUUUGGACUUGAUCCCUUUGCGGGAUACGUAGGCAGCCCAUAUGUUUUUGGGUACAAUUCCUUCUGAUAAUAAAAUAAUUUUCCCCUAUCCAUGAACUAUUUUAAGCAUGCAUUUGAUUUAUGUCUUUUUAUAUUAUUGGCAUCUUGAAAUAUGACGUAUAAAGACAUAAGAUGAAUCUCUUUUGGAGACAUGUGGUUUCAUUUUGAUUCGAAGCAUUAUGAGGACCGAUAUAAGUUAGCAUAAUUUUUUUUAUCACAUUUGGUGCUAAGUUCAUACCACAUACUACCACAUUGGUUGGAGGAUGAAGAUCCAUGUCGAUGAGGAUGUUGACCUGUGGAAUGGUCUUACAUCGCUUCAUUGGUAUAAUGAUUUCCAUGUUCGGUAUUAAUAUUCUUGUUGGACCGGAUCAUGUAACGUAAGGUGUCAUCAUUGGAGCUAUAUUUUUGUGACCACCUAUGUAGUCUAACCCGGGUAUUAAAACUUUGUUAUGACAAUCAAAUUUGUCCAAGUGAGAGAAUGUUGGAAUAAUUAAUAAUUUCAUAUGUGGGCUUCACAUUCGAUUGCAAAUUUUAUGGGUUAGAUGUAUGGCUCAUAAUGAUAUUUGUGUUUGGGUCAAAUUUAUUAAGUGAUCAAUUGGGUCUUUUACACCUUACGGGUUGUAAUUAAUUUGAUGUGAUAAUUUAAAGUAUGUGAGUCGGAAAUGAACCCUAAUUAGAAUUCUAGUCGUAAUGAGACGACUCAAUUAUUUUCUAUAUAAAGGCUAGGUCCCCUAUUCUCUCCAUAAGUUUUUUAUUGGCUUGCCCCAUUGAUAGCUAAUACUUUUGUGAGAAGCAAGGAGGAGAAGAUCUUGACUGCUAUUACAACUAUCAUUCAUAUCAACAAUGGCUUCCGCAGGUAUGAAUUCGUUUCUAUUAAUUUAUUGGAUUGUGAUUAUCGAUUCUUAACAUGAUUAAAACUAAAUAUUAACUAGACAGCUAAGAAGAAACGGGUACAAUGAUAUACAUUAGACACACAGUAAGGAUUCUAUUUUUUGGGACUUUUUAUGGCUUUGUCAUCUUUUAUGAGCCAUAGUUCAUGAAAGUGAGGCCCAACGCCUGACCUAACUAUUUUAUGUGUCAAUCGGAGACCUCUAUAAAGGAUUGUAUUAAGAUUUUUAAGGGGGAUCAUCACAUUCCUAUAGUAUUCUGUCUUGGAUAUAGAUAAGAACUGAUCUUUGUGUCCACCGGUUGAAUACUGCAUUCAUCACUAUUUUUGCUUGUGGCAUAGUCUUCAUUCUAUAUGAGCCACACAACCUUUACUAUUAUGCCUCUUUUGUGUUAAUUUUGUUAUUUUCCUCUUUAAUUGUCAUAUAUUUUGCUUCGUAAUUAGAUUGCACUAUGUUGAACGUGAUAGUUAUUUUCCAUAGGCAUUGAGCAUGUUUACUUUUUACGUUUAUGUUUAUUAGGAGUAUUUUUCCUAUGUAAUCGAAAACGAGGCCAUCCGGGGCCAUUGUUAGCAGAUGAUGAUUUGAUCGUGCUUUCAUUUCCCUCCGAUUCAUCUGUGUUCUCUAACCCAGGGAUGGUGGUACUUGGCAAAGGGCUUUUAUUUCCAGAAGAUCGGAGACGCUAAGAGCAACUUGUUUCAAUAAAGGCAGCUGAGAACACGAUGGUUAGAUUUUUCAGGUAUAGUAUUUUUUGUUUACUUUAUUAUGGAUAACUCAAUUGGUUGACGCGAACUUACUCUACUGAUUCUAGCGAUUGCAAGGCCCUGUCUUUCACAAGAACGAAGCUCUUAGACAGGCUAGAAAGGUGCGCUAAUUGCUGGAUGCAAAUACUUCAUUACGUGGAGAAGUUGAAAGUUUGAGGAUGGGGAAGAAAAAUGUUAACUUGGCUGCUAGAAAGGUGAUAGAUGAGCUAGCCAAGAUGGUUCGCGAGAAACUAGCAUUGGAGGAGGAGCUUGCAAACUUGAAGAAAUCUUCUGGGGCUCAGAUUGCUUUUCUGGAGGAUCGUUUGGAGAAUUGUCAUUUGGAAGUUGAGAUAGCUACUAGAGGCUUUCUUAUGAAUGAUUAUAAGUAAGGUAAACAUGUCAGCUGGGACGUAGACAAAGCGAUUGCCGAUUAUAUUGAGUUAUGUCAGAUGCUUGAUAUGCUAAAUAUGAUAGAAGAGCAGCCCGAAUUCAAGGUUGUGUUUGGUGAGGGAGUCGGGAAUGCCGAUGAUGGGCAGGUUUAGAUACCUUAUGCACCACAUUUUCCAAGUGUGCUUUCGGUUGGCAUUUUCUUUCGGACUUAUGUAUCAGUGUCUAUACGAGCGUAUUUGAACUUAUGUCUUUCUGUAAUGUUGCUAGCUUAUCAAAGAACUUGAUGAAAUAUCAAACUUAGAAUUUUAUUCAAAGUACAAUGAAAUCAUGCA